UUGGCUACGUAACCAAACGAUCUGACGUCACCACUACACUCCAAAUCUUUCCCCCCAGUGGCUGCAUGUUCUGAACAUGGCGAACCAGUUACCAACGCCUGCGCUGAACUUUGGGCAACAGGCGAUGAGGAGGCACAUUAUGGAGAGGCUCCUGUACAGAUUGCAGCAGGCCAUGCAACGCCUUCCACUGGAUCUUGGUUACUUACAGUUUGUCUGCACCAAUGAGAUUAUUAAGUAGACUUGCAGGGUCUCUCCAAACUGUGUAGCCUAGUCAAUGCUGAAAUGGAAGAAAGAUGUGCCCAUCAAUUGUUGUUGAUGACGAAAUGGGACGUCCUAAGCUGAUUGUCAGAACAGCACCUUCGACAGCUGAUUGAAAUGGAUCUGCCUGUACCUUGCAUUGCCAAACUGCUCGGCAUCUCAACACAAACUGUCCAACGCAGAAGGCAGGAAUACGGUGUCAUGACGUGGCCCUUUCUGGG
This is a non-coding RNA of Salvelinus sp. IW2-2015, 479 nucleotides long. NCBI's taxonomy places the organism in Eukaryota, Metazoa, Chordata, Actinopteri, Salmoniformes, Salmonidae. The record is from RefSeq and is a predicted model, not a curated record.